Molecule: unclassified non-coding RNA, 391 nt
Filed under: soil metagenome
Description: partial contains 5.8S ribosomal RNA, internal transcribed spacer 2, and large subunit ribosomal RNA
Rfam family: 5.8S ribosomal RNA (bases 1-122)
Source: RNAcentral
GAUGAAGAACGUAGCGAAAUGCGAUACUUGGUGUGAAUUGCAGAAUCCCGUGAACCAUCGAGUCUUUGAACGCAAGUUGCGCCCGAAGCCAUUAGGCCGAGGGCACGCCUGCCUGGGUGUCACACGUCGUUGCCCCCCCAUCUACUCCUUCGGGAUUGCGGGGGGCGGAUGAUGGCCUCCCGUGCGCCUCGUCGCGCGGUUGGCAUAAAUGCCAAGUCCUCGGCGACGCACGCCACGACAAUCGGUGGUUGCGAAACCGCGGUUGCCCGUCGUGUGCGGUCGUCGCGCAUCGAGGGCUCGAAAAAAUUGCCGGGCUCCGGCUCGGCUUUCAACGCGACCCCAGGUCAGGCGGGGUUACCCGCUGAAUUUAAGCAUAUCAAUAAGCGGAGGA